Non-coding RNA from Lolium perenne, 293 nucleotides. The record is from RefSeq and is a predicted model, not a curated record. NCBI's taxonomy places the organism in Eukaryota, Viridiplantae, Streptophyta, Magnoliopsida, Poales, Poaceae.
AAUCAAACAACUAAUAUUCCCAUCGAAAUGCAGAGGAGCAAUUAUAUAUCGGUCAUUGUAUUCACAGCAGAUGAAAACAUCGAGUGAUUUUACAGUAAUGCAAUGAAAUCUGCCGAGACAGUUUAACCUAUAACCAAAACGCAGGUAAUUAUAAAUCUCACACAUAUACAAGUAGAAUUAGUAGGCACAUGUACAGUCUCACAGCAUAUUCUUCCUAUCACGCUUUGUUGUUCAGACAUUAAUUUCUUUUCCCAUGUUUCCCAAAGAAAGGCAAAGCACGACCUAAUUAACAU